Molecule: ribosomal RNA, 294 nt
Filed under: uncultured bacterium
Lineage: Bacteria
Description: partial 16S ribosomal RNA
Rfam family: Bacterial small subunit ribosomal RNA
Source: RNAcentral
UCUAUCCUACGGGGGGCAGCAGUGAGGAAUAUUGGUCAAUGGGCGGAAGCCUGAACCAGCCAAGUCGCGUGAGGGAAGAAGGCCCUGCGGGUCGCAGACCUCUUUGGACGGGGAGCAAGGCCGCCGACGUGUCGGCGGAAGGAGAGUACCCGUAGAACAAGCAUCGGCUAACUACGUGCCAGCAGCCGCGGUAAUACGUAGGUGGCGAGCGUUAUCCGGAAUGAUUGGGCGUAAAGGGUGCGUAGGCGGCCGGCUAAGUCUGGAGUGACAGGUACCGGCUCAACCGGUCCCGGC